GCCGGGUAUGGUGGUGCGUGCCUGUAAUCCCAGCUACUCGGGAGGCUGAGGCAGGAGAAUCACUUGAGCCCGGCAGGUGGAGGUUGCAGUGACCAGAGAUCAUGCCACUGCACUCCAGUCUGGGUGACAGAGUGAGACCCUGUCUCAA
Molecule: non-coding RNA, 148 nt
Filed under: Chlorocebus sabaeus (green monkey)
Lineage: Eukaryota; Metazoa; Chordata; Mammalia; Primates; Cercopithecidae
Source: Rfam by way of RNAcentral